GUAUGCAUUUUUUAUACUCACGCUGAUCCUUCAAUGACGACAGUGUAAGGUAAAGCCCAAUGAUUUAGCAUUCAUAACAAGAAUCUGUCUUUCUUACUCUAUAAUGGGCGCACCAUUCAUUCGCAGGCAAGCAGCGGGAAGCAGGAAAAGGGGGACUAGACGGCACCAGGCAGUAAGUGGCCAUCAUGCAGGUGCAUACACUGACAUUAUGCCUUGCCAUUUUACAUUCCAAGGACACGAGCAGAAGGACAAGCGCAAGGAACAGGACAAGCGCAAGGAUGGUAAGGAUAUGAACAAGAGUCGGGCUCAAACGGGACGUGGCAGGCCACGUAACGGCCGUUCGGAGGUAUGAAGCCUCUGGUGCAAGACCAUGGCUAUUAACUAAAUGCUUUUUAUUGCGUUAUUUCGAGGCACGUUAUGCCGGUGUCACACCUACAGCCGUCAUUGCACGUAACACGCUCACAACUAUGUGUUCCUGCCUAAACAAUGAUUUGUUGUGAUGCAGAAAUAUGCCUUCCGUCGUGAACAUGACACGCGAGCGGAGGCGAGGAUUGAGCGCUUUAACAAGAAGACAAUAGUGGCGGUAUUGUGGUACAGUUACAUGCGCUUAGCUUUUGUGUGCCCAUUUUUUCUGACGUUUAGACUGUUGAACCCGUUUACAUGGAGUUGCUGGCUGAGUUGCAUUAGGAUUUGCUAUGAAUUCGUACCUGUUAUUCAGGAAUAGUUGAAAUGUAUGAAGAAAACAGUGAGUGCUGUGGUUCACAGGUCAUGUGCAACGGCGGUGCACUUUGCACAUUGUACAGCUCGUGUACUGCUAUUGUAAUGCUUUUGUAUUGCACGGUUGGCCGUACAGUUCGCAGUCCCGCACGCAAAUCGCAGUCACUCGCGUAAAAUUCAAAUGGUAGCACAUGAAUUCGCAGGAUUCGCAGUCGCGUAGCCAUUCGCAAUCCCUUGGCGAUGCGCUUGCGUUAAAAGUCAC
This 979-nucleotide long non-coding RNA is filed under the name Volvox carteri. RNAcentral describes it as "long non-coding RNA (VCAR_LNC001309)". Lineage: Eukaryota; Viridiplantae; Chlorophyta; Chlorophyceae; Chlamydomonadales; Volvocaceae. The record is from RNAcentral.